RNAcentral lists this ribosomal RNA (254 nucleotides) under uncultured bacterium. RNAcentral's name for it is "partial 16S ribosomal RNA". It matches the Rfam family "Bacterial small subunit ribosomal RNA", at positions 524 to 776 of the family's 1533-position model. The record is from RNAcentral.
GACGAACCGUGCGAACGUUAUUCGGAAUCACUGGGCUUAAAGCGCGUGUAGGCGGGCCAUCACGUCGGUCGUUGAAAGCCCCCGGCUCAACCGGGGAACCGGCGCCGAUACGAGUGGCCUGGAGGGGGGUAGGGGGACCUGGAACUUCCGGUGGAGCGGUGAAAUGCGUUGAGAUCGGAAGGAACGCCCGUGGCGAAAGCGAGGUCCUGGACGCCUACUGACGCUGAGACGCGAAAGCCAGGGGAGCGAACGGG